Molecule: ribosomal RNA, 506 nt
Filed under: uncultured bacterium
Lineage: Bacteria
Description: bacterial SSU rRNA
Rfam family: Bacterial small subunit ribosomal RNA
Source: RNAcentral
GACGAACGCUGGCGGCGUGGAUUAGGCAUGCAAGUCGAACGGUAUCAUCCUUUCGGGGGUGAGAGAGUGGCGAACUGGUGAGUAACACGUAGGUUAUCUACCCUCAAGACGGGGACAACCCAGGGAAACUUGGGCUAAUACCGGAUGUGAGCAACUUUUAGUUGUUUGAAAGGUGGCGUAAGCUGUCGCUUGGGGAUGAGCCUGCGUCCUAUUAGUUAGUUGGUGAGGUAACGGCUCACCUAGGCAAUGAUAGGUAGGCGGCCUUAACGGGUGGUCGCCCACACUGGGAUUGAGAUACGGCCCAGACUCCUACGGGAGGCAGCAGUCGAGAAUAGUCUACAAUGGUCGGAAGACUGAUAGUGCGACGCCGCGUGAACGAUGAAUCCCUUCGGGGUGUAAAGUUCUUUUAUAUGUGAGCAGUGCUUCUUAUAUUAACAGUAUGGGGAAGAGAUAUUAGCAUAUGAAUAAGCAACGGCUAACUCCGUGCCAGCAGCCGACGGUAAACG